UCCGUGGUGGCUCAGAGCAUAAAGCGUCUGCCUGCAACGCAGGAGAACCAGGUUCGAUCCCUGGGUUGGGAA
Molecule: transfer RNA, 72 nt
Organism: Ovis aries (sheep)
Lineage: Eukaryota; Metazoa; Chordata; Mammalia; Artiodactyla; Bovidae
Rfam family: tRNA
About the family: Transfer RNA (tRNA) molecules are approximately 80 nucleotides in length. Their secondary structure includes four short double-helical elements and three loops (D, anti-codon, and T loops).
Source: Rfam